CCAAUUACGAUGACUGCUAUCACAGUUCAAUGAACAAUAUAUAAGACCGUGUACGAGAACUUAGACUUCUAUAUGGGUUAUACUAGUACUUGAUGAGAAUUUAGAAAAUAUGUUACAAAUAUAUUCGGAUUUAUAUCAAUCAUGAGGGUUUGGAUGGGGUUAAAUGAUUAAAGAAUAAUGCCCUUAAAAAAUAAAGAUUAGAGAAUAACGGAAAAAAAAUGAAGAUUAGAGAAAAAAGGGGUUAAUUUUUUGAAGAUUAGAGAAAAAAGGGGUUAAUUUUUUGAAGAAUAGAGAAAAAAGGGGUAAAAAUUAAAUGUUUACAGAAUAACACCCCCCACCCCCCCACCCCCCCAACCUCCCAACCCCAUCCAGACCCUCAAUCAUACAUUAUGUUUACGCUGUAAUAUCAGCCGCUGUUUACCUUUAAUUAGAUUUCAU
RNAcentral lists this long non-coding RNA (438 nucleotides) under Mytilus galloprovincialis (Mediterranean mussel). The record is from RNAcentral. Lineage: Eukaryota; Metazoa; Mollusca; Bivalvia; Mytilida; Mytilidae.